This 86-nucleotide transfer RNA is filed under the name Nematostella vectensis (starlet sea anemone). It matches the Rfam family "tRNA". From Rfam's summary of the family: Transfer RNA (tRNA) molecules are approximately 80 nucleotides in length. Their secondary structure includes four short double-helical elements and three loops (D, anti-codon, and T loops). Lineage: Eukaryota; Metazoa; Cnidaria; Anthozoa; Actiniaria; Edwardsiidae. The record is from Rfam by way of RNAcentral.
CAUGCGAUAGCUCAGUUGGUAGAGCGGGGGACUGUAGAUUUAUAAUUGUGAUCCCUAGGUCGCUGGUUAAAAUCCGGCUCGAAGGA